RNAcentral lists this ribosomal RNA (522 nucleotides) under uncultured bacterium. RNAcentral's name for it is "bacterial SSU rRNA". It matches the Rfam family "Bacterial small subunit ribosomal RNA", at positions 553 to 1074 of the family's 1533-position model. The record is from RNAcentral.
ACUGGGCGUAAAGGGCACGCAGGCGGUGACUUAAGUGAGGUGUGAAAGCCCCGGGCUUAACCUGGGAAUUGCAUUUCAUACUGGGUCGCUAGAGUACUUUAGGGAGGGGUAGAAUUCCACGUGUAGCAGUGAAAUGCGUAGAGAUGUGGAGGAAUACCGAUGGCGAAGGCAGCCUCCUGGGAUAACACUGACGUUCAUGCUCGAAAGCGUGGGUAGCAAACAGGAUUAGAUACCCUGGUAGUCCACGCCCUAAACGAUGUCAAUUAGCUGUUGGGCAACUUGAUUGCUUAGUAGCGUAGCUAACGCGUGAAAUUGACCGCCUGGGGAGUACGGUCGCAAGAUUAAAACUCAAAGGAAUUGACGGGGACCCGCACAAGCGGUGGAUGAUGUGAAUUAAUUCAAUGCAACGCGAAGAACCUUACCUGGUCUUGACAUGUACGGAAUCCUCCAGAGACGGAGGAGUGCCUUCGGGAGCCGUAACACAGGUGCUGCAUGGCUGUCGUCAGCUCGUGUCGUGAGAAG